ACGCUGGCGGCGUGCCUAACACAUGCAAGUCGAACGAAGCAUUUAAGUGAAUCCCUUCGGGGGUGAAGCUUUUAUGACUUAGUGGCGGACGGGUGAGUAACACGUGAGCAACCUGCCUCUUGGUUUGGGAUACCGUUUGGAAACGAACGUUAAUACCGAAUAAUAUAGCGGAUUCGCAUGUUUCUGCUAUCAAAGAUUUAUUGCCAAGAGAUGGGCUCGCGUCUGAUUAGAUAGUUGGUGAGGUAACGGCCCACCAAGUCGACGAUCAGUAGCCGGACUGAGAGGUUGAACGGCCACAUUGGGACUGAGACACGGCCCAGACUCCUACGGGAGGCAGCAGUGGGGAAUAUUGCACAAUGGGCGCAAGCCUGAUGCAGCGAUGCCGCGUGAGGGAAGAAGGUUUUCGGAUUGUAAACCUCUGUCAUCGGGGACGAUAAUGACGGUACCCGAGAAGGAAGCUCCGGCUAACUACGUG
This 475-nucleotide ribosomal RNA is filed under the name uncultured bacterium. Its description in RNAcentral is "bacterial SSU rRNA". It matches the Rfam family "Bacterial small subunit ribosomal RNA", at positions 33 to 507 of the family's 1533-position model. The record is from RNAcentral.